Molecule: ribosomal RNA, 208 nt
Filed under: uncultured bacterium
Lineage: Bacteria
Description: partial 16S ribosomal RNA
Rfam family: Bacterial small subunit ribosomal RNA
Source: RNAcentral
CGUGUAGGCGGGUAUAUAAGUCAGAAGUGAAAUCCUAUAGCUUAACUAUAGAACUGCUUUUGAAACUGUAUACCUAGAAUGUGGGAGAGGUAGAUGGAAUUUCUGGUGUAGGGGUAAAAUCCGUAGAGAUCAGAAGGAAUAUCGAUUGCGAAGGCGAUCUACUGGAACAUUAUUGACGCUGAGACGCGAAAGUGUGGGGGAGCAAACA